This is a non-coding RNA of Pelodiscus sinensis (Chinese soft-shelled turtle), 1253 nucleotides long. The record is from RefSeq and is a predicted model, not a curated record. Lineage: Eukaryota; Metazoa; Chordata; Testudines; Trionychidae.
GCGCGCCGCAGAGCAAGGCCCGGGAGGAGCUGCACGGGAAAGGGUUCUGUAACUGGGUGCUGCCCGGAGAGGAGCGGCGAUCUCGCCUGCAAAUAGCGCGUGUUCCACUGCUUCUCCCAGGACUGCAGGCUGGUCUGUGCGCUCUCUGGGCUGCCCGGUGUCUGUUGACUCAGGGGUCCGAUCACGCAAAUGGCCGUUAACCGUUCAACGGUUGGACGUUUUAACAGAAAGAUCCAUUCAGUCUGGCGUUGUGCCCCUACAGGUAUCACGGGCGGCUCCAUCGCUGGCUGGCAGGCGGCACUCCAGAUUGCUGGGGCUUGCUCAUACUUCUCAGGGUGUGGCUACACACAGCUGGAGCAUGUGUAACUUCCCGCUCCCGGGGACAUGCUGCGCACUAGCACUGUGGAGCUGUUGUAGUAGCCAUUCUGAAGAUUGACCUGCAGUUUCCAACAGGAUUGAACUUGAGGAACCCGCUCCUUGUGUUACCAUGGCUGCACCACCAUGUUUCCACCUCUCAGGUUCGUACAGACAUAAGCCUGAGCCCAGUGCUGAGCAUUGGCUGACAACUUCCUUCCCCAUUGGGAGCCCCCCCAGCUGUUGUGACUGGCAAACCACCCUGCCCAGAUAGCAAGGGGCAGGGAGGGGGAGGGAGCAUCCCUUGUCAAUGGACACUUCCUGGAAGUUUCAUCACAUGACCUCUCUUCUUCAAUUUGAGACAUCGUUACAGCCUUGGAGGGUUGGCAAUCCUGCCCUACUCCUGUUUCUCAUGCCCAAGCACAGCAUGCCCUCUGCUGGUCAGUGUGGAGAUGGCCAGUGCCCUGUCUACCUAGAGCCCACCCAUAGAUGUGGCUGAGAUAUGCAGGGAGAGCACAAUGUGAACUCCCUCCCCAUUAUGCAUCCAACUCUCAGUGCUUGUCUACGCUACCCACCAGAUCAACUGGCAAUGACUGAACCAUUGGGAACUGUUAAUCACAUCUAGUGUAAAUGCAAUAAAUUAACCACCAAGUGCUCUCCCAUCAACUCCAGUAUUCCACAAGAAUAAGAACCACAGCUGAAGUCAACGCUUCUGCAGCCAACUUACCACAGUGAAGACACUGUAGUCUGGGGAGGGCAAGACAGCCUCCGCAGGCCAGAUGUGGCUCACCAAGCUGGUUGAUCUGGCUCACAGUUCACUGAUGAUUGAUCAAGAUAACUUCCAUGAAGAUUAAGUUACAUUUUGAGAUUCAUUCUGACAAUAAAAGUAGUCCUCUUCA